This 456-nucleotide ribosomal RNA is filed under the name uncultured bacterium. Its description in RNAcentral is "bacterial SSU rRNA". It matches the Rfam family "Bacterial small subunit ribosomal RNA", at positions 340 to 788 of the family's 1533-position model. The record is from RNAcentral.
UACGGAAGGCAGCAGUGGGGAAUAUUGCACAAUGGGCGAAAGCCUGAUGCAGCUAUGCCGCGUGUAUGAAGAAGGCCUUAGGGUUGUAAAGUACUUUCAUCGGGGAGGAAAAACAAAACUAAUAAUUUUAUUUCUUGACGUUACCCGAAAAAGAAGCACCGGCUAACUCCGUGCCAGCAGCCGCGGUAAUACGGAGGGUGCUAGCGUUAAUCAGAAUUACUGGGCGUAAAGAGCACGUAGGUGGUUUUUUUAAGUCAGAUGUGAAAUCCCUGGGCUUAACCUGGAACUGCAUUUUGAAACUGAAAUACUAGAGUAUCGUAGAGGGAGGUAGAAUUCUAGGUGUAGCGGUGAAAUGCGUAGAUAUCUGGAGGAAUACCUGUGGCGAAAGCGGCCUCCUAAACGAAUACUGACACUGAGGUGCGAAAGCGUGGGGAGCAAACAGGGAUUAGAUACCUU